CUAAGACAAAAAGUUUAACCUCAAAGUCUAUACAGAGGAAAGUUGAACUGUGUUCCAUCUUGCAGCUACAUUUACUUUUCAUAUUUGGAGUUUGUUAGCAUGCCUCCCUACAGUAUUCUCUAGACUGCCACAACUCAAAUCUUGCUGUAACUAAAAUAUGUCUUUUAAAUGAAGGGUUCAGCCUCGUGAUACAUCUACUGAGAAAAUAAACUCUUUGGCAUAAGGACAGCAAAAGGGACUCCUGAUAUUAGAACAGGUCUCCGGACAUCGUAGUGAUACAGACAACAGC
RNAcentral lists this long non-coding RNA (289 nucleotides) under Dromaius novaehollandiae (emu). RNAcentral describes it as "lncRNA (ENSDNVG00000004862.1)". Lineage: Eukaryota; Metazoa; Chordata; Aves; Casuariiformes; Dromaiidae. The record is from RNAcentral.